AAAAAUCUUGAAGCCUUGAAGCCACCUGCAGGGCUGUUGUUUUCCAAGGCCUUGCACUUACGUAAUUGACAUCUACAUAGACACACUCCUGGAACAUAUCGGGGGAGGCAGGCAUUCUGCUUGUUCUCAUUUGUUCUCAAAUUACAUGAUAAAAUACAUGUUUUGGACCUUUUAAACCAAAGGGAGUUAUUGAGCCCGCUUACAAAAUCCAUAACAUGUUAGCAGGACUUAUCUAGCUGCCUCCACAGAAUAGCCAAGCAACUCUACACCCGCUUUAGCCCCCACAAAAACAAGCGGAUUGCACUACAAAUAAUUUGCCUAUUUGGAAAAUGAAAGCUUCUCUGUAGUUUGAGGUCCUAUUUUUUCUUUAAGUUGUUACAGUCUUUUCAUGGUCCUUGAGGUCUAGGUUAGGUUUUUGUUUGGGGUAAUUUUUGUAUCCUAUGGAUACUAUUUAAUCUUUAGUAUUGAGUCAGUAUUUCUCACUUAGGCCUUAGGGGAAUACUGCCUGAAGUAUGUAGGGGGCAUGCGGAAUUCAGACGUGGCUUGGAAACUGCACCAUGGGUUCACCCAAGAAACAGACCAGAGGCAACACAUUCUAUCACUAAAACGUGUUCUCAGUUACACUUCCCUUCCAAAGGUAUCUCUGUUCAAGCCAACACCCGCUAGCUUAUGCUGAGUCUUUUUUUCCUGAAGAUACUCCUAAAGAAUACUCCAUGAUCUCAUCAGUAACACCAGCCCAUGUGACCGUAACUCUCACUCAACGAGGAGAAAAUAUACAAAGAGAAGAUGAAGAGACAACCAAAGUAAGACACAGUUAUCCAGAAAGAGCCCUAGAGAUGGAUAAGGAACCUGUUGGAAUGCUCUGAUAUUAAGAAAAAAAAAAUUAAAUUCAAAACCAAAAACAAGUCACAAGAAAAUUUGGAAAACAGGCUUUUCCUAUCCGGAUGAACAGAGAUAAUUUGUGUCGAUGGAUGUUCUGUGAAGGCCUAUUGUGUCGAGCAGCGUAUUAAAACAUAAACAUGGCUCUUCCCCCAAGAAACUUACAUUUCAGUAAGGGAGCCUGGCCAAAAUGGAAAACUGCAAGGUUCAAAUCCUGGAGUGCAGAAGAAGCAUUAGGCAUUGACCCUGUGGCUUCCUAAUAGAUCCGCAAAGUGCUUUGUUCCUGGAAAUCAUCCGAUGAGUAGUUCAGUGCUAUUGUAUAUCUUGUUAGAGCAGCCGAAGUGCCACAAAAUGAACUAAAAUCUCCCUGCAGAGUUGCUGUAUCAUAUGCUGAGAACAUUCGGAACUUUCAACAAAUUCAUGUUACGAUCCUGGGUAGCCAUGGUUAAAUCUGUACAGGGGUUAAAUGAGAAAUAUGAGCCUGCUGUUAAGUGUCUUCUGAGAGUGACAAAGCUCUGGCCAUAAGGGAUGGGAGAGGAGGGAUUUCUUCUCAGCCUUCCAGCCCUUUCCAGCUGUAUCACAGACAGGAGACAUAAUGCAAAGGGGCUCAGACAUUGACUUCCUGGAUCUUUGCGGCCCCAGGCAUUGACCCCCUCUACCUGGCUUUUCCUACGCUGUAAAAUGAGGAUCCUCCUAUAUUAUGGAGUUUAUUGUGACAACUAAAUAGCUGAGAAGAAGGACAUCUCAUUUGUUUUAACUAUGCAGUUUCCUGUCUAUCUAUCUAUCUAUCCCAUCAAUCUAUCAAUCAAUCUAUCAAUCUGUCUAUCCCUAUCUAUCUAUCCAUCUAUCUAUCUAUAUCUGUCUAUAUCUAUCUAACAUUUAUCUAUCAUCUAUUCAUCUAUCAGCUAUCUUCUGUCUAUCAAUAUUUCAAUCAAUCUCUCUAUCCCUAUCAAUUAAUCUAUCUACCUACCUAUCAACUAUCCAUCUAUCUCUAUCAUCUAUCAUCUAUUCAUCUAUCAUUUAUCAUCUGUCAAUCCAUCUUCCUACUAUCUAUCAAAAGCAACACAUUUUCUUCCUGACUUUAAAAAUAUUUAAGUGGGCCGGGAGGAUGGCUCACGCCUGUAAUCCCAGCACUUUGGGAGGCCUAGGCGGGCGGAUCACGAGGUCAGGAGAUGGAGACCAUCCUGGCUAACAUGGUGAAACCCCGUCUCUACUAAAAAUACAAAAAAAAAAAAAAAUUAACCAGGCGUGGUGGAGGGCGCCUGUAGUCCCAGCUACUCGGGAGACUGAGGCAGGAGAAUGGGGAGAACCCGGGAGGCGGAGCUUGCAGUGAGCCGAGAUCAUGCCACUGCACUCCAGCCUGGGCGACAGAGCAAGACUCCAUCUCAAAAGAAACAAAAACAAAAACGUAAGUGAUACUCUGUCCACUCUUUUGAUUGAGGAGGUCUGAUUUUCAGGCUUUGGAUUUUAUUAUGUCUUCAAUAUAAUAAUUGUUCCAUGUAUCUCUCCUAAAUUGCCAUUUGAAAAACUGCUUUUCUGAAGUUUAAAGUGCACAUUUUGAUACAUCUUGACACAUAUAUACACCCAUGAAAUCAUCACCACAAUCAGGAUAGUAGAUCUAUCCAUUACCGCCAAGGUUUACUUGCACUCCUUUGAACUUUCUCCCCACUCCUCACCCCCUGCCUAUCCCCAAUCCUUAAGCAAUCACUGAUUUGCUUUCUGUCACUAUCAGUUAAUUUGAAUUUUUCAGAAAUGUAUAUAAAUAAAAUCAUUCGACGUGUAUGCUCUUUUUCUGUUCACCCGGUACAAUUUGAGAUUUAGCCAUGUUUUUGCAUGUGUCAAUAGUUUAUUUUUUUGUUGCUCAGUACUAAUCCAUUUUAUGGAUACAGAGAAAUGUAUUAAUGCAAUCCCAUAUUAAUAGGCAUUUGGGUUGUUUCCAGGUUUGGGCUGUUACAAAUAAAGCUGCUAUGAACAUUUUUGUGCAAGUCUUUUUAUGAGUAUAUUCCUUUAUUUCUUUUGGGUAAAUACCUAGAAGUGGGAUGGGUGUAUCACAUGGUACGUAAAUAUUUAAAUUUUUAAGAGAAUGCCAAACUGUUUUUCAAAGUAAUUGCACCAUUUUAUAUUCCCACCAGGAAUAUAUGAGAAUUCCAGUUCCUCUACAUACUCACAGACAUAUUGUAUGGUCAGU
This 3067-nucleotide long non-coding RNA is filed under the name Homo sapiens (human). RNAcentral's name for it is "HSALNT0225184". The record is from RNAcentral. Lineage: Eukaryota; Metazoa; Chordata; Mammalia; Primates; Hominidae.